GACGAACGCUGGCGGCGUGCCUAAUACAUGCAAGUAGAACGCUGAAGAGAGGAGCUUACUCUUCUUGGAUGAGUUGCGAACGGGUGAGUAACGCGUAGGUAACCUGCCUUGUAGCGGGGGAUAACUAUUGGAAACGAUAGCUAAUACCGCAUAACAAUGGAUGACACAUGUCAUUUAUUUGAAAGGGGCAAUUGCUCCACUACAAGAUGGACCUGCGUUGUAUUAGCUAGUAGGUGAGGUAAUGGCUCACCUAGGCGACGAUACAUAGCCGACCUGAGAGGGUGAUCGGCCACACUGGGACUGAGACACGGCCCAGACUCCUACGGGAGGCAGCAGUAGGGAAUCUUCGGCAAUGGGGGCAACCCUGACCGAGCAACGCCGCGUGAGUGAAGAAGGUUUUCGGAUCGUAAAGCUCUGUUGUAAGUCAAGAACGGGUGUGAGAGUGAAAAGUUCACACUGUGACGGUAGCUUACCAGAAAGGGACGGCUAACUACGUG
This 497-nucleotide ribosomal RNA is filed under the name uncultured bacterium. Its description in RNAcentral is "partial 16S ribosomal RNA". It matches the Rfam family "Bacterial small subunit ribosomal RNA", at positions 28 to 507 of the family's 1533-position model. The record is from RNAcentral.